This 634-nucleotide ribosomal RNA is filed under the name uncultured bacterium. RNAcentral's name for it is "bacterial SSU rRNA". The stretch from base 1 to 542 matches the Rfam family "Bacterial small subunit ribosomal RNA", at positions 338 to 873 of the family's 1533-position model. The record is from RNAcentral.
CCUACGGGAGGCAGCAGUGGGGAAUUUUGGACAAUGGGCGCAAGCCUGAUCCAGCAAUGCCGCGUGUGCGACGAAGGCCUUCGGGUUGUAAAGCACUUUUGGCGAGAACGAAACGAUACGGGUUAAUACCCUGUGUUAAUGACGGUACUCGCAGAAUAAGCACCGGCUAACUACGUGCCAGCAGCCGCGGUAAUACGUAGGGUGCAAGCGUUAAUCGGAAUUACUGGGCGUAAAGCGAGCGCAGGCGGCUCUAUAAGACAGUUGUGAAAUCCCCGGGCUUAACCUGGGAACUGCAAUUGUGACUGUAGAGCUAGAGUGUGUCAGAGGGGGGUAGAAUUCCGCGUGUAGCAGUGAAAUGCGUAGAUAUGCGGAGGAAUACCGAUGGCGAAGGCAGCCCCCUGGGAUAACACUGACGCUCAUGCUCGAAAGCGUGGGGAGCAAACAGGAUUAGAUACCCUGGUAGUCCACGCCCUAAACGAUGUCUAUUAGUUGUUGGGUCUUAACUGACUUAGUAACGCAGCGUACGCGUGAAGUAGACCGCCGCGGGUAAGGUACGGUCCGCGAAGUUAAACGUUAACGUUAAAGGAAGUUAGACGGCGUGAGACGNGCCGACGGACGACGACGAGGGAGGAGG